GACCCUAAAAAGUUCUAAAAGCACAAAGAUUUGGUCCUAGUCUUAUUAUCAAUUAUCUCUUAACUUACACAUGCAAGUCUCAGCACUCCCGUGAGGACGCCCUUUCCCCCUUCAUUAGGCUAAGGAGCUGGUAUCAGGCACUACUCAUGCCCAUGACACCUAGUCCCACCACACCCCCAAGGGUAAUCAGCAGUGAUAAACUUUGUUAAUAAGCGACAGCUUGACUCAGUUAGAGAGAAGAGAGCCGGCCAACCCGGUGCCAGCCGCCGCGGCUAGACCCAUGGGCUCAAAUUGAUAGCAGCCGGCGUUAAUCGUGAUUAAAGUACCCUAAAAUUAGAGUGAAACCUACUGUCUUGCCGUGAAAAGCUACACUCUAGGGAAAACCAGAAACGAAAGUUACUCUAAUCCAUACUUGAAUACACGACAACUAGGAGACAAACUGGGAUUAGAUACCCCACUAUGCCUAGUCGUAA
Molecule: ribosomal RNA, 473 nt
Filed under: Fejervarya limnocharis (Boie's wart frog)
Lineage: Eukaryota; Metazoa; Chordata; Amphibia; Anura; Dicroglossidae
Description: partial 12S ribosomal RNA
Source: RNAcentral